UAGGUUUAGCUCAUACAAGGGAUAACAGUUCAGCUAAAAUUUGGAUAUUCUGGAAUGAUAAAUGGGAAUAAAUGGGUUUAACAGACUCAAUACAACAACUGACAAUGGAAUACAAGCUAAGGGGAAGAAAUGUCAGUUUCAAGAUCACAGUUGUGUAUGCUAGAUGUAGUAGCCUGGACAGACUGGAAUUAUGGGAAGAUUUGGAAGAUAUUGCAAUGAAUACUCAAGUUCCUUGGUUAGUUGGAGGUGAUUUUAACACUAUACUAGAUGAUUCAGAAAAACUAGGUGGGUUACCAGUGACACAACAGGAAAUAAGUGAUUUUUCUUAGUGUAUAGUUGCUUGUGCACUAAAUAAAUUGAAGUUUACAGGAAGAAUAUUUACAUAGUGGAAUGGCAGAAUUCAGGAGGAUUGCAUUUUUAAAAGAUUGGAUAGAGUUUUUGCUAAUAAUAUGCUUUUGGAGAUAAUACCAUACUGUGAAGUUCACUAUUUAAUCAGGCAGGGGUCAGAUCAUGCACCCCUUUAUGUUACCUAUAACACUGAUCAAGUUCAGGUGAAGAAGUCUUUUAGGUUCCUAAAUUCUUAUACCAAGCAUAAAGACUUUCAGAUGAUAGUGCAAGAUAGUUGGAAGGACAAUAUCAUGGAAUCCCCUUUUUAUUUAGUGCAUGAAAAAUUUGUGGUGUGGAUUAAAGAGAUUUAUGGUGACAUCUUUCAAAAAGUUGCAACUCUUGAGGAUAUGAUAAAGGAUAAGGAAGCUCAAUUCAAAAUCCAUCCAUCCCUUGAAAAUAGAGAGAAAUUGAGCAAGGCAGAGGCAAAUCUAAAAAGAAUGUUGAAGAUUGAGGAGGAGUUCUGGAAACAAAAGGCUGGGAUGAAAUGGUUUAAAGAUGGAGACAGGAACACUAAAUUUUUUCAUUCAUAUGUCAGAGGCAGUAGAAGGGAAAUACGAAUUGCAGAGAUACAAACAUAACAAGGGGAUGUUAUAACAACUCCACAUAAUAUUGGAGAGGAGGCAAUAAAUGUCUUCAAGGAGCAGUUUAUGGAAUUAUAGAAUUUUGUACAACAUGAGAUUCUCAAUUACAUCAACAAAACCAUUAUUGAUGAUUAGAAUAAAAGAAUGGAAAGGAUUCCAAACAAAGAGGAGAUUAAAUAGGUGGUUUUAUCUUUAAAUUGGGAGAGUGCAAGUGGACCAGAUGGUUUUUCAGGAAAAAUUUUCAGAGUUGCUGGAAUAUUAUUAAGAAAGAUAUCACUAAAUUGGUCAAAAUUUUCUAUAGUAGAAGUGAAUUACCCAGGUGUAGUACUCAUACCAAUUUAGUCUUAAUUCUAAAAAAGGAGAUAGUGAUACUUAUGGUGAUCUGAGACCUAUUAGUCUUUGUACUUUUGUUAACAAAAUAAUUUCUAAGGUAAUUCACUUGAGAAUUGUGAAAGUUCUGCCAAACAUAAUCUUUAAUAAUCAAUCUGGGUUUGUAAAGGGAAGAAGCAUCACUAAAAAUGUGCUACUUCCCAAGAAAUUAUUAGAGAUAUAAACAGAAGGAAUAAAUUUCAUAAUGUUGUGGUGAAAUUGGAUAUGAAAAAGGCUUAUGAUAGGGUCUCAUGUAAAUUUUUAGUGGUGGUUCUGAGGAGGUUUGGUUUCUCAAAAAGAGUGAUUGUUAUGGUAGUGAGGUUGGUUAGUAAUAAUUGGUAUUCGGAGCUUAUGAAUAGGCAAUCAUAUGGUUUCUUUCAAUCAUGAAAGGGUUUGAAGCAGGGUGAUCCAUUGUCACCAACUUUAUUUAUCAUAUCAACUGAAGUUCUAUCAAGAAGCUUAAAUGAACUCUUUAUUAAUUCGGAAUUCAAAGGGUAUAGUAUGCCAAAGUGGAGUCCUGAUAUUAAUCUUCUAGCUUAUACAGAUGACACUAUUCUAUUUUGCUCUAGACAUACUUACUCAAUUAAGAAGAUGAUGGGGGUUUUGAGAAGAUAUGAGGAAGUCUCGGGACAGAUGAUUAACCAUGAAAAAAGUUUGAUUUAUUUUCAUAGAAGAUUCCUAAUAGAGUCAGCAGCAAGAUAAGGAGGAUUACUGGAAUAAGACAAGGUAAAUUCCCUUUUACAUACUUAGGAUGUCCUAUUUUCUAUGGCAGAAAGAAUAAAGGACAUUUUGAAGAAUUGAUCAAGAAGGUAACUAAGAGACUUCAUGCUUGGCAGAAUAAAUAACUUUUUUAUGAGGGAAGAUACAACUUAAUUGAUCAUGUCUUACAAUCCAUUCCCAUCUACACUUUCAGCCAUGAAUCUACCAAUUAGUGUCAUCAAUCAGCUUCAUAAGAUUUUUGAAAAGUUUUUUUGGGGUAAUGCCACAGGAGCAAAGAAUAAAUAUUGGGUGAGUUGGGAGAAAAUAUGUCACCCAAGGAAUGAAGGAGGACAGGGAUUUAGAUCUUUGCAUGAUAUGUCCAAAGCUUUAUUUGCAAAACUUUGAUGGAUAUUAAGAACUUCAACAUCUUUACUUUGGUUUCAUUCAUGUGGAAUAAGUAUUGUAAAAGAUUACAUCCUUUAAUCACUAAAGGAUUUAGAGCCUCUUAUGUAUGGAGAAAAAUGAUUUUGGUGAGUGAAGAGGUGGAAACUAAUAUAUGGUGGCAAGUAAAGGCUGGCAACUUAAGCUUUUUGUAUGAUAAUUAGAAUAAACAAGGAGCUCUAUAUUAUGUAGAAGAUGAGAAUAUUCAAGAUGAGGAAAUUGAAAUUAGAAAUUUUGUCAAAAAUGGAUAUUGGGACAGACAGUUACUCUUAUUAGCUAUAUCUGAAAAAUGGUGGAUCUUAUUGUGUAAAUAGUAAAACCUCCAGUGAAAGGGUUUCAAAAUGAUACUUCCUAGUGGAUGGGAAAUACCAAUGGUCUUUUUACUAUCAAGUCUGCCUGGAACUGUAUCAGGAAAAGAAAAGAGAAAAGAAGAGAUUAUGAGUUCAUUAGGAAUAAAAAGUUUCCUUUUAAAUACAACUUCUUUCUUUCGAGGGUGUGGAUCAGAAGAAUUCCAACAGAUGAUAAUCUAAAGAGAAUGAAAAUUUAGUUGGUAUCAAGAUAUUGUGCUGUGACUCUAAAAAUGAGGAGACAAUGGACCAUGUUUUACUAACAGCCUCUGUAGUCAAUAGGCUUUAGAGGCAGUUUUGCUCAUUUUACAGGUAUACAUAUGGAGAACAUGCAACUAAAGCAAUCAAUUGUGUCAGGGUGGAAUAAGGAAUCCAAUCCAAAACUGACAAGGAUUUUCAAAGCAUUACCAGCCAUAAUUAUGUGGACAUUAUGGAGGAGAAGAAAUUGCAUAAAACAUGGAGGCUCUAUGUCGUUUACAAGGCUGGUAGAACAAGUACAGGAAGUGAUUAAGAAGAUGAUUAAUAGCUUAUUUCCUUGGAUUAAAAUAAAUUCACAGACAUGGCCAGAGGUAGUUGAAAUAUUAGGAGUUUACAAACCUAAGAUCCAUUAUCAUAAGGUAGUAUGGUCAAAGCCAGGAGUUGGAUAGGUUAAAUACAACAUAGAUGGAGCUAGCAAGGGCAAUUCGGGAUUGAGUUCUUAUGGCUUUUGUAUUACAGAUGACAAAGGUGACUUGAUUUAUGCUAGAGCUAAAGGUUUGGGGGUUUGUACUAACACCAUAGCUAAAGCUUUGUCUAUCAAGAAGGCUUUGGAAUACUGUCAUGAAGUAAACCUUAAGGAUUUUGGUAAUACCCCAAUUUUCUAAACCGAAAUGCUACACGGUGCUCAUGACCCCAAAGGACCACAAGCUAACCCAUGACUGAUAUCUGUACCUGUAUACUACAUAAAAUACUAAAAAAUACAUAAACAUGUACUAAACGGCCAUAAGGUUUAAAUCUAAAUAAACAUCAGAUAUGAACAAUGUCUAAAAGUGAUAUAACAAUACCAAAACAAAUCUGAAAUAACUGUCUGACAUGCUAUAGUCUUAAAGACUCUAAACUGUCUGAAUAAGGAGUUGAUGGAAUAUGUCCCCAACUAACUCCAUCUACUAAAAUAAUUAAGUACUGAAAGAAUGAACUAAUCAAAUACUAUUAUCCUCGAAUGAUGAGGACUUACUGCUAACUCUGUCUGCUGAAAUCUGAAAUACUAUUGAUGCUCUGGAGCUCGUUCUUCUAAACCUAUGGUAUAAGACACUAUAGCACAAAUGCUUCAGUACUUUGAAUGUACUGGUAUGCAAGUAAGGUAGGCUAAAUUCAAAGGGUUAUAUGAAUGAACAAUGCUGACUGAUAUGAACGUGAGAAUACAUACAUACAUAAGUGAAUGUAACUAAACUCGUGGUGAUACUGACUACGGAGUCUGAAUAUUGACAACAUGAGCUUACUGAUACUGAGAUACUGAUUGAUUGAUUUUACUGAUAUUAAUAUGUAAGUCACUUAUAAGUAGGCAACUAAUACUAUAUUGUUGAAUACUAAAGGACUGAAAUUAUAUUACUGAUACAUGAAUAACUAUUUCUGAUAGUUCUAAUUAUGAAGAACUGGCAUGGUUUACUGUAUCUGAUAGUCUAAUUAUAAAGAAUUAAUUUGAUUGAUUGUAUCUGACAGCUAUGAAUAUGAAGAAUUGAUAUGCUUGACCGUAUCUAAUAGUCCUAAAUGUGAAUACUGAUAAUAUGAGUUUUGAUAACUGAUAACAUUAGUGACUGUAUCUGACAGUCCUAAAUCUGAUGGAACUAACUGAGUUCCGUACUAUAUCUGAGUUAACUGUAUCUGACAGUCAUAAAAUUUGAAGGACUAUCUGAGUUCUUUUACUGAGACUGAGAAUGAAAAUGAAACUGAGACUGUGGGAAGUAGCCAUCUAACUGACAUGCCUUGAAUCUGAACUGGUGGGGUUCAACCUAUAACUCCAGCUGGAAGGGUAUCAAUACCAUGCCACGAGUAGAGACAACAUGUGAGUAAACCCUAUUCUGUUUAGGAGCUCUUUUCGUCUUCCCUUACUAUCAGGUAAACUCAAAUGAGAUGUAUUAUCCCUAUGUGUAGAGACAUCUCAACCUACGCUGGCUACGUAGUUCUGGAACUUAGGGAUUGCUUCUAGGGAUCUCAGUCCUAUCUAGCAGGUGAGUCCCCAUCCCUAGGCUCACUCGAUGCUGAAUCCUACUCCCAACUGAAGGACACUGAACUGAUUAGCUGAGCUGAACUGAUUAACUGAAUUAAAAUGAUUAGCUAAACUAAUGUUAGUGGGAUUAUUUAGUGGAGCUAAAUUGAGUUUACUAAGUUUCGUUGACUGACGGAAUGUACUGAUGUAUGAGGAUUAACUGAGAGUACUGUAGUUAUUGAGUUUUACUUGGAAUACUUCUGAAUUCUACUUUCUAUCUGAAUAAGGCUGAACUUUACUAGCUGAUGAGGUUACUGAGGUUCUAAACUGAAUACUUACUGAGACAUGAUAACUAGCUGAGAUUACUGAACUACUGAAACUACUGAGAUUUCUGAGUUUUCCUGAGUGACAUGACUAACUGAAUUCUAUGGAUCAUGGCUUGACUGAGAGUAUCGUGAUAACAUGACAUGGCUCUGGGCACACAGCUAUAUUUUUUGGGUAUGAGUACCCCCAGAACUCGAUGGAAGGAAACUAACAAACAUGAAUUUCUUUAAUGCAUGACCAACAUCAACAUUCCAUAAUAUCAUAACUUGGGAAAUUUCAUGAAGUACAUGGUUAUCAUACAUCUUUUACAUAAGUGGGAUUCUUGCAAGUAAGUAUAGCAUAAUCUCAUAAGACUAGUUCAUGAACAAUCCAACAACAUUUACAAGACACAAUAUCAACAUGAAAAUCAUUGGAGCAUAGGGGCAUAUCAUGAAUCCUUUACUUAGUCACAAUUUAGCUAUAUUGCAUGAUAUCUAGUUUCUUAGGCAUUUUAUCAAGCACCUUACAUGCACAAUUUUGGGCAUAGGUAUAUUUAUCAACAUAACAAUCUUAAUCCAUCUAAAAUUCAUGGGUACAACUAUCCUACUCAUAUGCUUCAUGAAAACAUAUCAAGAUACAACCUUGAACUAAAAUAAUAAUCAUCAACAUGAAUAUAGUCAUAACACAACAAGAAAAUCACAAUUUAUAAUUUAAAAUAUGAUUCUUGAGCUCUAUGGAUGAAAGGUAUCCAUGGAUGAACACUACGAAUACUUUAAAGCUUGAUCUUGAAAGAGAUCUAAUGUUUCUUGGAGGUUCCUGAAGAAAUCCUUAGGCUUGCUCUUGAUUUUUCUUGACUAGGGUUUAACCCCUUUUGGAGUGAAUGUUCUUGUUCUUGAGGAGAUGAUCUUGAGAGAAAACCCUAAUCUUGUGGUUGAGAGUGUAUGCAAGAAUUUUUGAGAUGUUUAACUGAAGAAAAAUAGGAGAAAGUUACGUCCCUUGAGGGUUUUAAGUCGUGGAAAGUGAAGAAAAAGAUCAAAAUACCCUUACGAAACCACUUCCUAAUUGCUGAAUUUAUCAGCUGACAACCAAGGUUGAUAAGCCGUCAAAUCCUUGAUAGCCCGUCAGCCCAGGUAGUCACCUGGGAGCUGAAAUUUUUGGAUUUCUGCCUAGGCCUGAAGACAUUCGUGAUAAGCCGUUAGGCUUGUGAUAAGUUAUAAUAAAAUGUCGUCACUCAGUUUUCGAGCCUGAUAUGCUGGAGUAAAAUGGGCAUAACUCUUUGCUAUGAUAUCGAAUUUAGGAAAAAUUGGUAUCGUUGGAAAGAUAAUUCAACUAUAUAUAUUUUAGUAGGUCAUGAGCACAACAAUUCGAAGUAUAAAGAGAUAUAUUCUCAUUUGAAGUUGACUAUAGCAAUAUCCUUCCCAAGAAUUCAAUCGGUAAGGAAUGUUUUGAUUCGUUUGAUAGUUGGGAGUUAUUUGAAGACUUAAUAUACAUCUAACUUGCUCAUAAAAUUAUGACAAAAUCAUGAUGUAAUAUACGUGAGCUUGAAACAUGGCACUAAUAUUGGUUUGGACUUUUCGGAGUAUUAUAAUUUUAUACUGGAAACAAACUCUUUAUGCCUUAAAAAUAUGAUUUCGAAGCAAUGGAAAAUUCCCUGGGAAGUUGCUGAAAUUAUGGAAAACAUCAAAAAUUUUGUUCAUGUCCUUAAUAUUACAAUUUCUCACAUUUUCAGGGAAGGGAACACAGUUGCUGACUCACUAGCAAAUGAGAUUAUUGAAUCACAAGGACAAAAGGACUAACAUGUUUUUCAACAACUUCCAACACAGAUAAGGAAAUAAUUAAACAUAGAUAAAUACCAAAUUCUACAACUUUGAAUCAAGACUCGUAGGAUAGUGCAACAAUGAAGAUAGAUAACAGUAGUUAUUUACCCCAUAAAACUUUAACAUCAUUCACAAGUCAUCAAGCAAGAAGUAAAGGAAAGAAACAACACAGAAGAGUAAGUUUUAAUGUAUGCCCGAAAGAAGGAAUGAGAUCUGUGUUAAGCAAAGUUAGAUGUACUACACUAGCUAUAAAUUCUACACCAAAAAGUGGGGAAGAUAUCCAGCAUCUUCAACCAACAUAUGGACACAUCUGGGUGAACUGGAGAGAAUCUGAUCGUACAUGGUCAAAACCACAUAAAGAUGAGUGCAAGAAAUUACAGAAAAAGCUAAAAAUGAAGACAAGUCAGAGAGAGAUUCAAGCACCUGAUGAGAGUGAGGUACAUAAGUAGAGCAGUAGCAAAAGUAGCAAUGGAUUCACUCGAAACAUCACCUAAAAGAGGAAGACAUGUAGCUGGAGUUCCAUCAGCAACAUUGUUGAAGACGGCGAUGAGCUUCAAAAAAAAGUACUUAGUACUUUUGUAUUAGCCUUUUAUCUAAUAGAAAAAUUAGGAAACCUUUUCAAUUUCCAAUUUUCGGACCCAAUCUUGGAUUGGACCAGGUCCUUUUUUGUGCUUUGGAUUUUUGUAAACUUGGCCAAUGGGCUUCUUAUUGAUAAAAUGGUCUAAAAGAUCAACAAAAAUUCAUCUAAAAAAAAACUAAUUCUGGUCGGGAACCACAUUUGUGAAUUCUCAAUGGUGCCUAAUCCCUUCCCUUUGGAAUAAUUUGAACCCUUAUCUGGAAUCUAAAAUAAUUUUGUAGACUAAAAUAAAGUCAGACUUGUUAAUAAAUAAAUAGGUUUCCUUAUUUUUCUUAAAAAUUAGGUGGCGAAUCUGUACAAAUUAAUUCUUUUUAGAGUCCAUAAUGUCGUGCUAGUUUUGAACUUAGGUAAAAAAUGGGUAUGACAGUUUGGCGACUUUGCUGGGGAUUGCAAUGUUCUAACCAUUACAGAUUUAGGUAAAUAUUUUUAAUUUUUCGACAUUAUUGUUUGUUUCUUUCUAAUUGACUUGAUUUAUCUUGUUUGUAUGGCAAAAAAUUGUUAUUUGUUUUAUAUAGCUUAUUUACUUAUUUAUUGCUUUAUAUAAACUGUCAUUCCGUUCAUAUUUUUUCCAUUUGGGAAAGCUGACACAAUCACACAUACAAGUGAGGUGUGUUUUUCGCACCCGUAAAUUUCUUUCAAAAUCCUAAAGUUUAGGAGAGUUGGUGUAUGUGCGGGGUGUUCAAAUCUUUUUCUGUGUGCCCAUGUAGCCUUCUCACUUGUGUAGUCUGCUCGACUCACUCUUAGUCGAACAUAGGAUAAAGUUAAAACAACAACUUUUAGGCACAUGCAUCAGUAGUCAACUUUAUGUUCUAAGGGUUGACAAUCCACGUGACACAUUAUUAUAGUCUUUGUACAUAUUUGAAGGAUUAUUGUAUCUGUACUUAUUCAUUUGUUCUAAAUUGUUUAUUCUUUUGUGGGAAGGCAUAACCUAAUCUUUGUUUUGCAUGGUUGAUCAGUUAAAAGAUACACCUUACCAACAUCGCCACUAGUUACGUAUGAGUUUGAACUACGUUUUGACCUGAUUCUUGUCCUGAAAAGAUACGUAGGCAACCCUGCAUUAGGGUUUGAUCUCUUCACUAUUUUAGAAUAAUUUCUCAGGUAUUCAAACUGGAGCAAUUUUCUGAAACAGUUCAAAGACGCUCUCCAAAAGCCUUCAAGAACGCAAUUUAAUAUCUCCUCAAAUCCAAAUCACAUUAACAUUAGUGCCAAUCCAACCUAUCUCCAGAUCUUCACCCGAUUUUGAUGUAAGAAUAUCUAGCUUUUUCUUUCGAACGUCGUAAACCAUUAAAUUUAUGACGUAUCAAUCCUCACUUUCAAAAGCAAGAGUUCAAUAUUUUUUCAGUUAUAAUAAUUCUGCCAACUGCGGUGAAAUAAGGCCAUAAUUUCUUCAAUAGAUCUUUUUUAGUUUUGUCAGCAUAUUAAAGUUGUGUUAAAGCUCUCCCCAUGCUUUACAUCCACUCUUUUGAUUAUUUGAUCAGAACAAUUUUGAUGCAAAAAGUAAUUCUUUUCUGAUCUUCUUUCACAUUAUUUUUAUGAAUAACCAUUAAUUUAUUUUACAAUCAUACAUUGUACAUAUAAAUUUGCAAAUUUGCCCGAACUACACAGAUCUGAUUCUUGUUUCACAACACAAGAUACGUAGGCAACCCUCAUUUGAGUUCGGUCCAAUUCUUUUUUAAAAAAUAAAAAAAUUGACUUGGUUAGUACCAAUACAGUUAGGAGUAUGCAUGAUGUCGCGCCUCAUUUUCCUCGUAGAAAGAGGUAUUCGACGUGACCACUCUUUUUGGGAUUAUUUUGAAGGUAGAGUGUGAAAAGUCACCACCUAACGAAUUAAGGUGCGUUAGGGCACCGGUUUAGACUACUACGAACCUAUUUUUAUUGUUUAGUCUUAGUUCACUAGAGUUUGGGUAAGGUUUAAAAUUACUUCGAAAGGAAGGAGUUAGGCACCUUUCGAGCUCCACAAAAAUGGUUCCCGGCCGAAUUCAUACUUUACGUGGGGAUUCUAUGUGAUCAAAUAAGGCUUCUUGUUUUAUUAUUAAUUUAAUGUUAACUAAGUGGUAAAGUAAUGAAUAAACAAGCACAAGUCAUUUUAUUCUUCCUAAUUAUUAAUUAUCUAAGCAAUAAAAAUCAGUGAAAUACGUAAAUAAGACAAACAAAGGGAGAGAGUGAUAUAAAUUAUAACAAAAAUUAUUAAGCAAGGGAAAAAAUUUAAACUACCCCAAAUAAAUAAAGAAAUAAGAAAAAUACACAGUAACUAACUUAUUUUGAUAGAGAACUAUAUUCAAAACUUGAAAAAUAAAGAGUUAUUGUUUCUUAAAAAAAAUGUUUAUUGCUUUAUAGAAACAACGCCACGAUACCAUUAAUCGCGCUCAUUCAACUUAGCAACAAUUUUAAUUAGAGGUUAGUUUUAAGUGAAAAUAAUAAAAUUAUAAUUUUAAAGACAAGUGAAAAAUAAACAAAAAAAACAUUUAUGUAUGUAUGCAUAAUCUCUGCUUUUUGAAACUUUUGGUACGUAGAGCUCCCAAAACUGUAACAAAUUAAUUUAGGAUAUGAAGAUCUGACCCCGUGAUUCUUUUUACUUUCCCGCUAACUAUAGGUUAGGAGAUAGUACAAAGAGUAAAAUGUCAUGUCUAUUUUAAAUUGUGAAAGUCAAAACCGCACAAUGACUUUGAUACAGAAAUAAAAGUCUUUUUUUUUGUUAAAUACGUAGAUACUGAAAAUUAUUUUACUAAGUAGAAAUUAAUGAAACAUACGAAAACAAAAAUAGGAAUGCUGAAAAUUAAUUAUAAUGUGCCAAAAAUAUUAUUUUAAAAUGCUGAAAAUUAAUUUUAAUAUGCAAAAAAUACUAUUUAAGGUGCUGAAAAUAUUAUUUAAAAUGCCAAAAAUGUUAUUUUGAAUGCUAUGAGUAUAAUUGUUGAAAGGGUGAUUUAAAAUGCUAAGAAUGUCAUUUAUAAAAUGUCCGCAAUUGUUAAACAUGCAAAAGUCAAUAAACAUGUUGUAAAUUAAGUUGCCAUAUUCAAAUGUGAAUUAACAAGGCAAGUAUUAAUUAAACUCCUGAAAACAAGAUUUCUAGGCGGAUCAACUAAUAAGUCGUAAAUUAGAUAAAUCCUAAAUUAGAUUUGCCUAAAUGACAAACAAGUCAAGUAACAAAUCCUAAAUUUAUUUUCCUAAGUGAUUCACAUGGUACGUAAAGCACAUAAACCCCCGCUUCCUAGCAGUUUCCAUAAUUUAUUAUUACACAAAUGUUUAUACAACAUAUUAGUUCAAAUUUAAAUCGCAAUAAAAGAGAAAUAGAAAGUAAAUUAAGGCGAGAUAUCCCUGAAGGUGGCAACAUUUUAGCACAACUUGACCAAAGCACCUGCUCGAACAUCACAAAAUACACAAACAAGUUGUACGGUGCACGAAUUCUCAAAUUGAUCGAAUAAAACAUGAUUCCAAUCACAAAAGACAUCAAAACAAAACAAUUCAAGCAGUCACAAAAGUGACAAUGUGUCAUCAUGAAAGGAGUUUAGGAAUGCGAAAAAUUAAAUAAGAAAACUAACCGGUUAGGUGAAGUAAUAUGAAAAUAAAAUCAGAAUAUUGCAAUAAAGAGAGCAACUACAGUUCGAGAUUGAACCAAGUGUUUUGGAAGCCGCGAGCAAAAAAAUUUUGUUCCUCUUAUCUUGUUUUUGUAUAGAGUGUAUGAGUAUGAUAAAAGCUAUAGAGUGUGAGUUGUCUCAAUAAUCAAAAAGGUUGUUGUUUAUAUAGUAAAAGAAUCAAGACAAAUAAAGAAAAAGGAAUAUCUUUUGUCAAUCAAUUAAGAAAAUAAUAAAAUCAGUCGAUCAAUCAAUGAAAUUUUCCCUAUAAAUAUCACACUUCAUAUUAACAGUCAAAAUAAAUAAAAGGAAGGAAAAAUAUCAAUCAAUUCAAAUUUACUGUCUAACAUGCUUACAAAUUAAGGCAAAUCAUUAAGAGUAUGUAAAUAACUACAAAAAAAAGGAGAAUCGUUAAUUUGGCAAAAUCUUUUUAGAAGUGUCAGAAUCAAUUUACAUAAAAUUAAUCAAUCUAAAAAUAGGAAAAAUAUUCAAUCAAUGGAAUUAAUUAUUCAAAUCACCAGAGAAGGAAAAAUAUAUUACCAAGCCAUUCAUAGUGAAACCAAAUAAUUUUAACAUUGGUGUAAAUAACAUCAGUUCAAUAUCAAUCACGCGUAUGAAUUUCAAGUAAACAACAGUAACAAUACUCAUCGGCAUACCCAAAAUUAUGAUACGUAAUAACGAGGAAUGAAUUCAAUAAGCCAUGAGCACCUUUUCGAUGCAAAAUUAGGUCUAAUAGUAAUCCAUAUGUUAAUUAAAGAAUGUAAGCAAAUACGAAAUUGGAUUAAUCAAAAAUCAAAAUCAAAUAUUACUAAUUUCAAAUUCAAUAAUCUAUCAAAGAAAAGAACGAGAAGAAGAUAACAAUGUUAGUUUGGGACACAAAAUUAAAUGGGGUACAAACUUGGACGAAUUCGCUAUGAAUCUGUCGUGUUUCGCCGAUGAUGAAUGGAAAUGGUGACGGCUGAGAAGCGGACCAAUAGUGGUCCUUUGGGCUGGCGGCUGUGUUGUUGUUGUUUUUUUGUCGGCGGUAUGGGUGGCUAGAGAAGCGGAGGCUGGGGCGUCUGACAGGGGCUGAAGUAGCGAUGGAAACUGAAAACUAGACAAUGUAUUUGUAAAAAAUGUGAGUGUGCAUAGUUACGAAUAAUUUAAUAAAAUUAUGUAAAAAUAUCGUAUUUGAGUUUUAAAAUUAUAAAAAUUAUGCUAAAAGAAAAUAAAAUAGUUUUUGUGAAUUUUUCUAAAUUAUGAAUGUGAUACGUCAAUAUGUAUUUAAUAUAAGAAUAACGUGUAAAAAUAUUAAUAAUCAAAAUUAAAUAAUUUUGAUAAGAUAGCAGCCUAAAAGAGCAUCGGGUGGUCAAAAUUGGGUAUCAACACAUGAGAAAGAACAAACUGGUAUGAUGUAAAGGAUUGAUUUCAUGGUAAACCAUAGAUUAUUUUGGUACCUUUUAUCACACCUGAGCAACACUUGAAAAAUUCUCUUGCAUACAUCUAACGCAAGAAUGAAGUCAACCUCGUUGUUUUAUGUGCAUUGUGUGGUGAGUUUAGUUUAAUUCAUUGCAUUGCAUCGUUGAUCUAAAACCUGUCCUAAAUAUCUGUUGAGACGACAUUCUGAGUUGCACUUGGUUUAGGAAAGGAUUGUAGGCCUUCUUUGAUCUGAUUGUGCCUUUUAUAGCCUACCAAAUGACAUUAAUCCCUAGCAUUCCCUCUUUUGAGCCUAAAACCUUUUCUUGGACAACCGCAUCUGAACCUAUACCUUUUUGAGUGCUUAUAUGCACUAUCCCUGUUUCGCCCUAUCUCCUUAAGCGCACUAAAUACGUGCAAAUUACGAACGAAGAUUCAAGUUUAAAGACACAAAAUGCAAAGAAUAUAUCAUCUCAGAUGAAAAAAUGAAAAAAAUGACUUCAAAUAAAACAAAAACCCCACAAAAAAAAAGAGAAUGAAAAAAACAUAUAGUUUCUUAGAGAGGAGAAACUCUAACACAAGAUUCAAAAGAAGCCGAAGCAAAUACAAAACAAGGGGCAACAUAGCACAACUAGGAAGAUCACGCGUUAAAGCACAACAAAUUUUGAAAACACAGAUAUAAUGCAACGCUUAUUGAGAAAUUAGUCACUUUCAUCUCAAAUUUAUCCUACCUGCCUGAUGCCCACAUUACAAGCUAAUAACAAGUCCUACAGGAUUCUAUUCCAAGCAUUCUCACAUUAGUGGAUACUUACAUGAAGGUCAAGUCUAUGGUAUCACAAUUGCAUACAUUGAUAUUCUUUCUGAGUAUGAGUGUAUUUCCCUAUAUGUCCCCAAAUUCAAAAAGAAAAAUUACUCAAAUAUGUGCGAAAUGGGACUUUUUUUCAGGAGAGGGCACUUGAAGCAUGAGGAUAGGCAUUGCUCGAAACAUUUUUUUGAAGCAAGACAAAAAGUCUUGUCGUUUCUUAGGCGUGUUUGAGGUACCAUUUGAAACUAUAGGAGUGACCCUGAAGUCAAUCUCGGUUAGCUGGAAAAGAGAUAAGGGAAUCCUUAUGUAUACUACUAAUUAUUGGUACUAAUUGAAGCCAAGACAUGAUUGUGUCUUCUUCAUCUUUCAGCAUUUUUUACCAAGAAAAUGCAAAAUUCUUUCUUUCUUUUUUUUUUCAAGAAGCCCACCUUCAAAUACGGCCAUUCUUUUUUUAAAUUUCAUUCAAGUUGCCCACUUUCACAUACAUGCAUUUUACUUUUUAUUAAAGGCGCCCAGUUUUGAAGUACGGGCAUUUGACUUUUUCUUUCAAGCAUAUACCUUUAAAUAUCGAUAUUUUAUUUUUCAGUCAAGCACCCAUUUUUGAGUAUUUUUAUAUUUUUUAUAGCCCCUCCAAUCGAGAGCCUAUUACAUUUGUUUUGUAGUCUAGAGCCUUUUACAUUCCAAUAGCCCUAUCAGUUGAGAGGCUAUUGAGGGCCUUAGUUUUCAAAGACAAUCGGAGAUGGAAAUCACCAUCAUUCUUCGUAACAAUCAGAGACGUCAUACAUUUUUUCAAGACUUUUUCUUUCUUUUCAGAUAAUAUUAACCAUAGAUCAUACACUAGGGCAAAUUUUGAGAACCACCUCAACAAUUUAUUCUAUUUUCUCGUAUCAAACUACAUUGACUUGAUUCUCGUAACACUCAAGAUGAGUAGGAUGCUCUAUGUAGAGUUCGGUCAGCACAAUCCAUAAUCAUUCUUUCUCCCCAUCAAGUACACAAUCUUGCAUCCCCCAAUAUCUCAGAAUUUGAUAGUGGGACAAUUUUGAAAGUAGCAUUAGAAAUAAGUGAACACUUUCCUUCCCAAAUAAUUCUUUGCUAAAUAUUCAUUUCGUGGCUCUGUCCAUCCUAAAAUAGGACAAAUUGGGUUGGUUUGCCCUCAAAAAGACAGUUAUGCAUGUUUUUCUUUAGUUAAAUACUUAUGUUUGCUUGCCGUUACUUGCAUGUAUCGCACUGUAUUUAUUUCAUUUACAUUACAUGUUAUCUUUGUCUUUACUUGCACGCACUACAAUGCAAUUAUUUUAUAGUUUAAGCACUAUAGUCUAUCUUUACCUUUACUUGCACGCAUCGAAAUGCAUUUAUUUUAUUAUUUUAAGCACUGCAUGUUAUCUUUGUCUUUAUUUCCAUACAUCGCAAUGCAUUUAUGUUAUCCUUUAAGCACUCGCAAUACAUUUAUUUUAUUAUUUAAGCACUGCAUAUCACCUUUGUGUUUACUGGCUCAUAUCACAAUGCAUUUUGUUAUUUAAGCAUUGCAUGUCUAGCAAAUAUCGCAAUGCAUUUAUUUCAUUAUUUAAGCACUACAUGUCAUCUUUGCCUUUACUGACGCAUAUCACAAUACAUUUAUUUUCUUGUUUAAGCACGACACGCAGAUAUUGUAAUGCAUUUAUUUUAUUAUUUAAGCACUACAUGUCAUUUUUGCCUUUACUGGCUCAUAUCGCAAUGCAUUUUGUUAUUUAGGCACUGCAUGCCUUGCAAAUAUCGCAAUGCAUUUAUUUUAUCAUUUAAGUACCACAUGUUAUUUUUGCAUUUAUCUGGCACAUAUUGUAAUGCAUUUAUUUCUAAUAUUUUAACACUGCACGCAUAUAUCGCAAUGCAUUUUAUCAUUUAGGCAUUGCACGCCUCACAAAUAUCUUAAUGCAUUUAUCUUAUUAUUUAAGCAUUGUAUGUCAUUUGUCUUUACUGGCACAUACCGCAAUGCAUUUAUUUAUCAUUUAAGCACUGCAUUUUAUCCUUGCUUUUACUUGCACACAUCGCAAUGCAUUUAUUUAUUUUAUCAUUUAAGCACUGUAUGUCAUCUUGGCAUUUACUUGCGCAUAGCAAUGCAUUUUUUUUUAUAAUUUAAGCACUGCAUGUCAUCUUUACGUUUACUUGCACAUCGCAAUGCAUUUAUUUUGUUAUUUAAGCACUGCAUGCUUUGUCUUAACCUACACAUAUUAAAAUGUAUUUAUUUUACCAUUUAAGCACCAAAUGUUAUAUGUGCAUGUACUAUUUUUUAAGCACUGCAUGCUAUUUUUUAAUUUUUUUUUAAAAGAAAAAAAUAAGAAGAAAAAAUCAAGCUUAAUUUUUCGUUUGAAUUUUAUUGAUCAUUACUUCUUAGUUUGAUGCAUUUGCAAGCAUAUAUUUUGAGGACAUUGAGUUCGUCCAUUCUAAAAUAGGACAUAUUGAGGUAGCAACUCUAAAUUAGAGUUCCCUCAAUUUUUUUAAUCAAAAAUAAUUUUUUGUCAAGAAAAAUUGGCUACACGUUAAUAUUUUCGUCUAAAGACUUCUAUAUUGUCUUCAAACGAAAAGGGGCAAACUGUUGACACCCAAUUUUGGCUCUUCAUACUUAAAUUUAGCACUUUUAGGCUUUAUGAUCGUUAAAGUACAUAAAAUAUAAUUUUUCACACUUUUUGUUUAUAAUUUUUUAGCAAAUUAACGAUAAUCAUCAUUUUUUAGAAUUUAUUAUCAUAUUUUAACUUUGCAUAAUUUAUUGAUAAUUAUCCUUAAUUUCGUAAAUUUUAGAAUUUUUAUUAAUUUAUUAUCAUUUUAAUAUUUUUGCAUAGUCAUUUGCAUAUGUACAUAGCAUAACACUACAAUUCUUUCUUACAUAUUAUAAUUUUAAAUGUUUAUAGCGUAAUAUAGUUUUUAGAUGAUUUUGUUAUAUUUGUUGUUUUUAUUUUUCUGUGAUUAUACAUCGACAUUCAUAUUUUUGUACAUUAUUUAAUACGAUCUGCAAAUGUAGCUGACUUAAUUAUUUUAAAUACACAGAGCAAUAAAUUAAUCAAAUCAAAAUCAUGUCAACUUUUUUUAAAGAUGACAAUUGACAUGACUAAUUAGAUCUUUUACCCUUUAGUCAAAAUACUACUACUAUUUAAUAGUUAAAAUGGAUAUAUUUUUUUGGUUAAUAAUGGACUCCACUUUUUAUUAUAAGUAAAAUGGGAGGGCUAAUUAUUUAAUACACACACUACACGCACAAACACACCAAAAAAAUAUCAAUCUCUCUCUCCUUUCUCUUCUCUCCCUUUUCUCUCAAAAUCAAACUGUCGCCCACCACCCCUACCACCGUCGGAGUCCGAUGAAACCUUUACCACCACGUCACCCUCUCUCCCUUCAUCUUCUCUUUUCUGUCGCAUCUUACUGGAUGUGACAACCGAUAAGCUGCCUCCGGCCACCACCAUUACUGUCGCCUCUUUUCCUUUCCCUUCCCCAUUUUCUUUUUCAUUGCUUCUUCGCCAAAAGUGAUGACCGGCAAAUCUCCCCAACGAGCAGCCACCACUAUGGCUAGUUUUCCUCACCCUUUUCUCGUGUUUCCAUCGCUGCCUCAUUGAAAUUGAUGGCCAGCAAGCUCCCAAAGCAUCACUACCGCCACUGCUUUACCAGACAUGGCCAGAUCUGGGCAAGAUUUCAUUUCUCCGGCGUGGCUUCGAUGAAUACCUUUAACGCAAUGCCACCAACAAUCUUUGUUGUCUCCGAUUUUGUUAUUUAUUUGGUUACUAUGCUUUAUUUUCUUAAAAUAGAUCUAUGCAUUUCUUGUGCUCUAACGAUUCUUGACUGAUUUUGGGUUGUCUUUCAAUAUUUUUGGUGGCCUUGAAUUUUCGAGCAUCCUCUUUGUUUUCUCUAGGUGAAACUGCUACAAGUUUGCUCAUUUUGGGUUGUUCUGUUAUUGUUUAGCCACUGUUUUGCUGCUUGUGGACUGAUUUUUCUCUCACUUUUGCUCUUUUACUGCAUUUUACAUUUUUAUUAAAUUGAUAAUGAACAAAUGUUAUAUUGGCCAAGAAAUUUUCUGUCGAUUUUUUAGGCCUUCACAAAUAAAAAGACAGAUAUUGCGUAUAUAAAUACAUAAUAAAAUAAAUAUUUCAGGUGAUGAUAAAAUUUUUAUAGCAACACAAAAGUUUUAUGAUUCGUAUCUUGGUAAGACGAUUUAGGACGGCUAAUAAAUUAAGCAACCACUUCGUAGCCAUAGUGUACCUAAAAUCUGAUCCGAGCCCACACUUUUACUAAAAAAAUUUAUUUUUUAUACAUAUAUGCACACACAUCUUCUCAUUUUUUUGAUAAUUAUUUAUUUGUUACUAAUAUUUUUAUUACAAGUGCUUAUACAGGUUAUUGAGAAUAUUUAUCGGAAAUGACAUGCAAAGAAGACUUUAAUUUUUGUGAUUCGUAUUUUUAUAUUAUUACAUUUGUAUAAAUAGCAAUUAUAGUGAAAAAUUUAUUUUUUGGGGUGUUAGGCGGGAAUGCUUUAACUUAUACUACAUUCAUCACGCGCUUAGGCAAAAUUUAGGCUGUUACUAUUUACUUGAAAGAAUUAAAUUAAUUUAGAUAUUUAAUCAAAUAAUUCCUACUUUUUUUUUACAUUAAACAUGGCUUAAUCUUUUUCUGUAAAAUAAAAUUUCGUUAUCUAAUCUUUUCAUUUUUUUCAUA
RNAcentral lists this long non-coding RNA (18209 nucleotides) under Capsicum annuum. RNAcentral's name for it is "long non-coding RNA (CANN_LNC020569)". The record is from RNAcentral. Lineage: Eukaryota; Viridiplantae; Streptophyta; Magnoliopsida; Solanales; Solanaceae.